RNAcentral lists this microRNA precursor (110 nucleotides) under Phaseolus vulgaris (common bean). The record is from RNAcentral. Lineage: Eukaryota; Viridiplantae; Streptophyta; Magnoliopsida; Fabales; Fabaceae.
UGCAAAAGUAGACAUGGUGUGAUAUUGGUUUGGCUCAUCUUAAUUCAAGCGUCAUAUCAUAUCAUCUUGUUGAGACGAGCCGAAUCAAUAUUACUCUUGUUUGCUUCAUU